This 233-nucleotide ribosomal RNA is filed under the name uncultured bacterium. RNAcentral describes it as "partial 16S ribosomal RNA". It matches the Rfam family "Bacterial small subunit ribosomal RNA", at positions 89 to 339 of the family's 1533-position model. The record is from RNAcentral.
GUGAAAGUGGCGGACGAGCGAGUAACACGUAAGUAGUUGCCCUGUACUCGGGGAUAACUGGUCGAAAGAUCAGCUAAUACCGGAUGGUCUCGAAAGAGUAAAGAUUUAUCGGUACAGGAGACGCUUGCGGCCUAUCAGCUAGUUGGUAAGGUAAAGGCUUACCAAGGCUAUGACGGGUAUCUGGUGUGAGAGCACGACCAGACGCGAUGGGACUGAGACACGGCCCAUACUCC